Molecule: ribosomal RNA, 460 nt
Filed under: uncultured bacterium
Lineage: Bacteria
Description: partial 16S ribosomal RNA
Rfam family: Bacterial small subunit ribosomal RNA
Source: RNAcentral
CCUACGGGGUGCAGCAGUGAGGAAUAUUGGUCAAUGGGCGCGAGCCUGAACCAGCCAAGUCGCGUGAGGGAAGACGGUCCUAUGGAUUGUAAACCUCUUUUGUCGGGGAGCAAAAGACGCCACGCGUGGCGUUCCGAGAGUACCCGAAGAAAAAGCAUCGGCUAACUCCGUGCCAGCAGCCGCGGUAAUACGUAGGGGGCAAGCGUUAUCCGGAUUUACUGGGUGUAAAGGGAGCGUAGACGGUAUGGCAAGUCUGAUGUGAAAACCCGGGGCUCAACCCCGGGACUGCAUUGGAAACUGCCGAACUAGAGUGUCGGAGAGGCAAGUGGAAUACCUAGUGUAGCGGUGAAAUGCGUAGAUAUUAGGAGGAACACCAGUGGCGAAGGCGGCUUGCUGGACGAUGACUGACGUUGAGGCUCGAAAGCGUGGGGAGCAAACAGGAUUAGAUACCCGAGUAGUC